Molecule: ribosomal RNA, 277 nt
Filed under: uncultured prokaryote
Description: partial 16S ribosomal RNA
Rfam family: Bacterial small subunit ribosomal RNA
Source: RNAcentral
GACGAACCGUCCAAACGUUAUUCGGAAUUACUGGGCUUAAAGGGUGCGUAGGCGGCUCUGCAAGUUGGGUGUGAAAUCCCUCGGCUCAACCGAGGAAUGGCGCCCAAAACUGUGGAGCUCGAGGGAGACAGAGGUGAGUGGAACUUGUGGUGGAGCGGUGAAAUGCGUUGAUAUCACAAGGAACACCGGUGGCGAAAGCGGCUCACUGGGUCUCUUCUGACGCUGAGGCACGAAAGCUGGGGGAGCGAACAGGAUUAGAUACCCCCGUAGUCCCUGA